RNAcentral lists this ribosomal RNA (298 nucleotides) under Salmonella enterica subsp. enterica serovar Anatum. Its description in RNAcentral is "partial 16S ribosomal RNA". It matches the Rfam family "Bacterial small subunit ribosomal RNA", at positions 338 to 653 of the family's 1533-position model. Lineage: Bacteria; Pseudomonadati; Pseudomonadota; Gammaproteobacteria; Enterobacterales; Enterobacteriaceae. The record is from RNAcentral.
CCUACGGGUGGCAGCAGUGGGGAAUCUUCCACAAUGGACGAAAGUCUGAUGGAGCAACGCCGCGUGAGUGAAGAAGGCCUUCGGGUUGUAAAGCUCUGUCUUUUGGGACGAUAAUGACGGUACCAAAGGAGGAAGCCACGGCUAACUACGGGCCAGCAGCCGCGGUAAUACGGAGGGGGCAAGCGUUGUCCGGAUUUACUGGGCGUAAAGGAUGCGUAGGCGGAUAUUUAAGUGAGAUGUGAAAUACCCGGGCUCAACUUGGGUGCUGCAUUCCAAACUGGGGAGCGAGAGUGCAGGA